This 253-nucleotide ribosomal RNA is filed under the name uncultured bacterium. Its description in RNAcentral is "partial 16S ribosomal RNA". It matches the Rfam family "Bacterial small subunit ribosomal RNA", at positions 524 to 776 of the family's 1533-position model. The record is from RNAcentral.
UACGUAGGUGGCUAGCGUUGUCCGGAUUUACUGGGCGUAAAGGGCUUGUAGGCGGUUCGUUAAGUCCGGUGUGAAAUCUCCCGGCUCAACCGGGAGCGGCCAUCGGAUACUGGCGAGCUAGAGGUGGGCAGAGGAAGGCGGAAUUCCCGGUGUAGCGGUGAAAUGCGUAGAUAUCUGGAGGAACACCGGUGGCGAAGGCGGCAUCCUGGACCGACACUGACGCUGAGGAGCGAAAGCCAGGGGAGCAAACGGG